This 64-nucleotide microRNA precursor is filed under the name Petromyzon marinus (sea lamprey). RNAcentral's name for it is "Pma-Mir-103-o1_pre stem-loop". Lineage: Eukaryota; Metazoa; Chordata; Hyperoartia; Petromyzontiformes; Petromyzontidae. The record is from RNAcentral.
AGCCUCUCUAUGGUGCUGCCUUGUGUCAAACCUGCGUGUCAAGCAGCAUCGUACAGGGCUUGGA